GAGGACGCUGCAUUCGCAGACGGUGUCCUCCUCGCCACCAAUGCCUUGGGCAAGUGGACUGUCGGUUGGGAUGGAAGUGCUGCAGACGCUGGGGUGGAAAAUAAUGACAUCUCCAUCUACCACCUGGAAUGUCUUCAAGAUAUGGCCAAUGACCUGAGAUUACCGCCUGCUAUCGCUUUAUCUUUCUUUAUAUGAAUCAAUUGCUAUCUAUCAAACUGAACACAUUUAUGCAUUGAAGUAAAAUUUGGCAAAUAUUCCUUGAAAUAAAGCUAAAUGAGCAUUGCA
Pantherophis guttatus is the source of this 285-nucleotide non-coding RNA. Lineage: Eukaryota; Metazoa; Chordata; Lepidosauria; Squamata; Colubridae. The record is from RefSeq and is a predicted model, not a curated record.